GCGGGCGUGGCGAAAUUGGCAGACGCACCAGACUUAGGAUCUGGCGGGCAACCGUGGGGGUUCGAGUCCCUUCGCCCGCACCA
This 83-nucleotide transfer RNA is filed under the name Massilicoli timonensis. Its description in RNAcentral is "tRNA-Leu". It matches the Rfam family "tRNA". Rfam says of the family: Transfer RNA (tRNA) molecules are approximately 80 nucleotides in length. RNAcentral also lists the same sequence under 1 other name. Lineage: Bacteria; Bacillati; Bacillota; Erysipelotrichia; Erysipelotrichales; Erysipelotrichaceae. The record is from RNAcentral.